ACUAACUGUAGUAUUGAUGCAACCCAUUUGCGGUGCUCUUAGCAUCGGGCUUGACAUUUACUUAACUUAUUAAAUUAUACUGUAUUAAUGAACACACACCAGUGUUAUGUACCAACGGUUUUUGGUUCUCGGGUCAGGGAUUCGGUUUCUUCUUCCUAAUUCCGACUGGGUUCCGAACCCUUGAUGUUACUGUUGUGUGAAAAUGAAGGUUGCCCUAUUUUGGGAGCAAUCUGAAGUGAUAUUGCUCUAAAGGCUUGCAAUUUUCUGAAUGAUACAAGCAGCGGUCUCCCGGUUUUAUCAUUUUAACAAAGGGCGCAGGCGCAUAUGCUGGUGGUAGGGCCUUUUAUAACUUCUUUGGUGGCAUGUUCAGCAUCACCAAUGUAUUUUGGUUGUCAAGAAAACUGCUUGGUGGCUGGCGGCUGGCCAUACUGAUGGUUUGCCAAAAGUCAAAUACUGAACAUAGUUUUGAGCUUAGCAACAGAUUGCCAUUAUCACUAGAGCAAAUGAUGGAUAUAGGACCUGAAGAAUUGUCUAGAAUGGUUUGUUUUUGUGUUCGGGCACCAUCAACAUGGUCAAUGGCAAGCUCAAAUCUGCUCUGUGCGUAUGAGCAACAAUCUUUAGUUGCGCACUUUUAGUAAGUUAACUUAUAAUCUGAUGACAACUAAAUAUAUUUGCCGUUACAAUUAUAAUUGCGUUUUGUAUAGAAGUGUAUGACCAAUAGACAAAUGUAAACGCUUUCUAAAUCUAUGAAAUAUUGACCUUUACGA
This is a long non-coding RNA of Erigeron canadensis, 767 nucleotides long. RefSeq lists it as uncharacterized. The transcript has 3 exons. Lineage: Eukaryota; Viridiplantae; Streptophyta; Magnoliopsida; Asterales; Asteraceae. The record is from RefSeq and is a predicted model, not a curated record.